CCUACGGGAGGCAGCAGUGGGGAAUAUUGCACAAUGGGGGAAACCCUGAAGCAGCGACGCCGCGUGAGUGAUGAAGGCCUUAGUUAUGUAAAGCUCUAUUUGUAGGGAAGAAAAUUACGGUACCUGAGGAAUAUUCUCCGUCUAACUCCGUGCCAGCAGCAGCGGUAAUACGCAGGGAGCAAGCGUUAUCCGGAUUGACCGGGCGUAAAGGGAGCGUAGGCGGGAGUGCAAGUCUGCAGUGAAAGGCGGGGGCUCAACCACAGGACUGCUGUGGAAACUGUACGGCUGGAGUGCGGGAGAGGUAGGUGGAAUUCUUGGUGUAGCGGUGAAAUGCGUAGAUAUUAGGAGGAACACCGGUUGCGAAGGCAGCUUACUGGACUGUAACUGACGUUGAGGCUCGAAAGCGUGGGGAGCAAACAGGAUUAGAUACCCUAGUAGUC
RNAcentral lists this ribosomal RNA (440 nucleotides) under uncultured bacterium. Its description in RNAcentral is "partial 16S ribosomal RNA". It matches the Rfam family "Bacterial small subunit ribosomal RNA", at positions 338 to 795 of the family's 1533-position model. The record is from RNAcentral.